CCAAAUACCAAGGCGAUCGAGUGAACCAUGGUUAAGGAACUCGGCAAAAUGCCCCCGUAACUUCGGGAGAAGGGGGGCCGGAUGCGUUACCUCACUUGCUGGGGGAAGCGUUGAUGGCCGCAGAGACCAGGCCCAAGCGACUGUUUACUAAAAACACAGGUCCGUGCGAAGAAGUAAUUCGAUGUAUACGGACUGACGCCUGCCCGGUGCUGGAACGUUAAGGGGACAGGUUAGCUGGUUUAGGCCGGCGAAGCUUUGAACUUAAGCGCCAGUAAACGGCGGUGGUAACUAUAACCAUCCUAAGGUAGCGAAAUUCCUUGUCGGGUAAGUUCCGACCUGCACGAAUGGCGUAACGACUUGGGCGCUGUCUCAACCAUGGACUCGGCGAAAUUGCAUUACGAGUAAAGAUGCUCGUUACGCGCAGCAGGACGGAAAGACCCCGGGACCUUUACUACAACUUGGUAUUGGUGGUCGGUACAACUUGUGUAGGAUAGGUGGGAGACUGUGAAAUCCGGACGCCAGUUCGGGUGGAGUCAUCGUUGAAAUACCACUCUGGUUGUUCUGGCUGUCUAACUUCGGUCCAUUAUCUGGAUCAGGGACAGUGCCUGGUGGGUAGUUUGACUGGGGCGGUCGCCUCCUAAAAGGUAACGGAGGCGCUCAAAGGUUCCCUCAGCCUGGUUGGCAAUCAGGUGUCGAGUGUAAGUGCACAAGGGAGCUUGACUGUGAGACAGACAUGUCGAGCAGGGACGAAAGUCGGAACUAGUGAUCCGGCGGUGGCAUGUGGGAGCACCGUCGCUCAACGGAUAAAAGGUACCCCGGGGAUAACAGGCUGAUCUUCCCCAAGAGUCCAUAUCGACGGGAUGGUUUGGCACCUCGAUGUCGGCUCGUCGCAUCCUGGGGCUGGAGUAGGUCCCAAGGGUUGGGCUGUUCGCCCAUUAAAGCGGCACGCGAGCUGGGUUUAGAACGUCGAGAGACAGUUCGGUCCCUAUCCGCUGCGCGCGCAGGAGACUUGAGAAGGGCUGCCCCUAGUACGAGAGGACCGGGGUGGACGAACCUCUGGUGUGCCAGUUGUUCCGCCAGGAGCACGGCUGGUUGGCUACGUUCGGGAGUGAUAACCGCUGAAAGCAUCUAAGCGGGAAGCACGCUUCAAGAUGAGGUCUCCCACCGAGUUAAUCGGGUAAGGCCCCCAGUAGACCACUGGGUUGAUAGGCCAGAGGUGGAAGCGCCGUAAGGUGUGGAGCUGACUGGUACUAAUAGGCCGAGGGCUUGUCCCA
Molecule: ribosomal RNA, 1274 nt
Filed under: metagenome
Description: bacterial LSU rRNA
Rfam family: Bacterial large subunit ribosomal RNA
Source: RNAcentral